GCCAAAGUAGCUCAGCCGGUUAGAGCAUACGCUUCAUAAGCGUGGGGUCGCCAGUUCAAGUCUGGCCUUUGGCACCA
This 77-nucleotide transfer RNA is filed under the name Sorangiineae bacterium NIC37A_2. RNAcentral's name for it is "tRNA-Met". It matches the Rfam family "tRNA". From Rfam's summary of the family: Transfer RNA (tRNA) molecules are approximately 80 nucleotides in length. The record is from RNAcentral. Lineage: Bacteria; Pseudomonadati; Myxococcota; Myxococcia; Myxococcales.